Long non-coding RNA from Sinocyclocheilus grahami, 1651 nucleotides. NCBI's taxonomy places the organism in Eukaryota, Metazoa, Chordata, Actinopteri, Cypriniformes, Cyprinidae. The record is from Ensembl.
AUUUUCUUGAUACUUGCUUUUCAGACAGAUUUUGUCGUGUCUUUGUGUUAUUGAAGGACCAUUUCCACUUACAAUGGCACCUUAUCUGACCACCGAUUACCUGAAGAAGCUUUUUGAACCAGCCGGAAGUGUAUUUGUUGCCUUUUUGUUUUUGAUUAUUUUCCAGUUUGUGUUCAAAGUGGAUUUUGAAUGUCCUUGUGACCCUAAGGAAAAUUCUCAAGUCUGCGCAAUUUACAUGAGUCUACCUGCCAUCUCUCUUUGUAUUAUAGUGAUUAUUAUUGAAAAGAGCACAAGGAGCAUUUUCUGCAACAAUGGAACAGGAACAAAAUACAAGUGCAUAGUUUUUUUAAUGUCAGUAAUUAGAGGACUAUCUGUAGCGAGCCUGUGGAUAAUUACAUUAUUGAUUGAUGGGGACUGGUAUGUGUGUCUUAAAACAACAAACUAUGACUUGCCUCCUUAUGAGCAAAUCUUUUGCAAAAACAUCCUAAUCCAAACCCCUGCUGAAGCUGCAGAAAUCCGAGUCCAAAAAAGUCUCUCACGCGAGAUCGCCAUAUUGGUUUUAUUUGUAGUAAGUGUCCUUUGGAUAUUCAUAGCUAUAAGACAAUUUCACUGCAGGCACCCACUUGCAUAUCAGUAUAAUAAGUUUCUGCUGGAGGAGACGGACCUCUAUAUUAUAAAGGAAUUGAAAAAAAUGGCCGAAGGCACAGCAAAGACAAGAGGACAGCAACAAAUACAAAAUGCCAAAGCAUUGUUAGACCUUAAUCCUCAGCCAGAGUGUGUCGUGCUUGCAUCCUUUAAACUUCAUGCCCAAACAUCAGAACCACAGCAGACGGCAACUGUAAAACACAAUGUUCCAGAAACACAGCAACUGGAGGAUGUUCUGCUCACAAAUGUUCAAAUCACUGCAAAACAAAGAGAACAACAGCAGCCAGAGCCGGUUCUGCUCGCAAACAUUCAAAUCACUGCAAACCAAACAGAACAACAGCAAACCCAGAGCUGCUAGUUGGAGCAAACACAUAUACAUCACCAGAGCAUGCCAGGCAAACAGCUGGCAAUAUACCAACUGUUACAACCCUUUAUUUUUGUCUCUUUCUUUUGAAAUUGUUUGUGUCCAGGGGCUCUGCUGAUUGGCUCCUGUAAGCUGAUGACUUGUCCAUUCUGAUUGGUGCAGUCGACUCCAGGCACACCUUAAAAGCCCUGAUGUCAGUUCCUUUGGGAGGAGGGGAAUUGUAUUUUGUUGUGGGGCUGCUUUGGCUGUGUGUGGUUAAACAAGUUUGCUCUGUGAUUAUAGUUUGUUCUUUGAAAGUGAAGCUGUUCUGGUUUUUGACCCAAUUGACUGUUGUACUGACAUUGUUCUGGAAUGCCCCUUAUAAAUUUGUCUGCUUAACUUUGUAAAUAAUUUCUAAUUGUAAAUAGUGAAGGCUUGGGAAGGUAGGGAGACUGACGCCACCUUUUUGUUUAUUGUAACCUCUUUUGGACUCUGUUUUUUGGUUAGGGAGCUGGGAAAGUAUAUUGUAUAUUUAUGUUGAUAUUCGUUUGUUAGGUUUUAGGUUUUGUUUGUUAUUUUGGCAUUGUCAGUCCCCGACGAGAUAUCACUAUAUUUGCCUACUGGAGUUUCCUUUUAUUUAUAUCAUUAAAUCUCAGAAAAAAC